RNAcentral lists this small nuclear RNA (290 nucleotides) under Nannospalax galili (Upper Galilee mountains blind mole rat). Its description in RNAcentral is "7SK RNA (ENSNGAG00000005327.1)". It matches the Rfam family "7SK RNA". Rfam says of the family: 7SK was discovered as an abundant small nuclear RNA in the mid-70s but a possible function has only recently been suggested. Lineage: Eukaryota; Metazoa; Chordata; Mammalia; Rodentia; Spalacidae. The record is from RNAcentral.
GGAAGUAAAGGUGCUCUAGCUGUGACAUCUAUUACCACAUUGAUCAUUAGGGUUAAUUAGGAUUAUCUAGCUGGCUAGGCAGGUGUCCCCUUCACCACUCCAUGUAUAUCCUUCCUGAGACUGCAUGCUUAGUUGAAGGAGGUGACCCUCCUUGGUAGAGGAGAUCAAGGAUAUCAUUGAGUGGUUGUGCUUUGUUGCUGAAACUUCCAAACAAGCCCUCAAGAAACACACAUUGAACUACCCAUGCUAAGAUAAGGGAAUGGACAUCUUAAUGUCAUUUUCCUGUCUUU